GCAGCAUCAUCAAAGCUUGCUUUGAUGGAUGGCGACCGGCGCACGGGUGAGUAACACGUAUCCAACCUGCCGACAACACUGGGAUAGCCUUUCGAAAGAAAGAUUAAUACCGGAUGGCAUAGUUUUCCCGCAUGGGAUAAUUAUUAAAGAAUUUCGGUUGUCGAUGGGGAUGCGUUCCAUUAGGCAGUUGGCGGGGUAACGGCCCACCAAACCAACGAUGGAUAGGGGUUCUGAGAGGAAGGUCCCCCACAUUGGAACUGAGACACGGUCCAAACUCCUACGGGAGGCAGCAGUGAGGAAUAUUGGUCAAUGGACGAGAGUCUGAACCAGCCAAGUAGCGUGAAGGAUGACUGCCCUAUGGGUUGUAAACUUCUUUUAUACGGGAAUAAAGUGAGGCACGUGUGCCUUUUUGUAUGUACCGUAUGAAUAAGGAUCGGCUAACUCCGUGCCAGCAGCCGCGGUAAUACGGAGGAUCCGAGCGUUAUCCGGAUUUAUUGGGUUUAAAGGGAGCGUAGGCGGACGCUUAAGUCAGUUGUGAAAGUUUGCGGCUCAACCGUAAAAUUGCAGUUGAUACUGGGUGUCUUGAGUACAGUAGAGGCAGGCGGAAUUCGUGGUGUAGCGGUGAAAUGCUUAGAUAUCACGAAGAACUCCGAUUGCGAAGGCAGCUUGCUGGACUGUAACUGACGCUGAUGCUCGAAAGUGUGGGUAUCAAACAGGAUUAGAUA
Molecule: ribosomal RNA, 725 nt
Filed under: uncultured Bacteroidales bacterium
Lineage: Bacteria; Pseudomonadati; Bacteroidota; Bacteroidia; Bacteroidales
Description: bacterial SSU rRNA
Rfam family: Bacterial small subunit ribosomal RNA
Source: RNAcentral